AACCAUAUGUCUUCAAUAUUUGGCGACUUCUGCUCAAUGAAAAUUUAAAUAGCCGCAGUACAUUGACUGUGCAAAGGUAGCAUAAUCAGUUGGCUUAUAAUUGAAGUCUAGUAUGAAAGAAUAAAAUGGGCGGGCGCUGUCUUCUUAAGGUAUCUAGAACUUACUUAGUAAGUGAAAAUACUUACAUAUAAAUAAAAGACGAGAAGACCCUUGAAGUUUCUCAAAGAAUGAACCUUGUUGUUCAGGCCUGUUUUGCUGGGGCGGCAAGGUAACAGUCAAACUUAUCUACAACUAUCUGAAGUUUUUUAGCAGUAAGACUAAAUUACUCUAGGGAUAACAGCAUAAUUUUUAAAAGCUUGUGACCUCGAUGUUGGACUAGGGCCAACAACGCUCAGAAGGUGUUGUUGCACGUUCUGUUCGAACGGGAAGACCCUACAUG
RNAcentral lists this ribosomal RNA (439 nucleotides) under Gonostomopsis auridens. Its description in RNAcentral is "partial 16S ribosomal RNA". It matches the Rfam family "Bacterial large subunit ribosomal RNA", at positions 1829 to 2602 of the family's 2925-position model. The record is from RNAcentral. Lineage: Eukaryota; Metazoa; Mollusca; Gastropoda; Stylommatophora; Camaenidae.